GGUUCAUUAGCUCAGUUGGUAGAGCACCUGACUUUUAAUCAGGGUGUCCCGCGUUCGAGCCGCGGAUGAGCCACCA
Molecule: transfer RNA, 76 nt
Filed under: Sporomusaceae bacterium
Lineage: Bacteria; Bacillati; Bacillota; Negativicutes; Selenomonadales; Sporomusaceae
Description: tRNA-Lys
Rfam family: tRNA
About the family: Transfer RNA (tRNA) molecules are approximately 80 nucleotides in length.
Source: RNAcentral